CCUAAGGUAGCGAAAUUCCUUGUCAGGUAAGUUCUGACCCGCACGAAAGGCGUAACGAUUUGGGCGCUGUCUCAGCUGUAGACUCGGUGAAGUCUUAGUACCUGUGAAGAUGCAGGUUACCCGCGACUAGACGGAAAGACCCCAUGGAGCUUCACUGCAGGUUGAUAUUGGGAUUUGAUGCAGCAUGUACAGGAUAGGUAGGAGGCAAAGAGAUGGAUACGCCAGUAUUCAAGGAGCCGCUGUUGGGAUACUACCCCUGUUGUAUUGGAUUUCUAACCGGACGACGUAGAGCCGUUGACGGGACAGUGUCAGUCGGGCAGUUUGACUGGGGCGGUCGCCUCCCAAAGAGUAACGGAGGCGCCCAAAGAUACCCUCAGCUUGGAUGGAAACCAAGCGCAGAGUGCAAAGGCAAAAGGGUGUUUGACUGCGAGACCCACAAGUCGAGCAGGGACGAAAGUCGGGCUUAGUGAUCCGGCGGUGCUGAAUGGAAAGGCCGUCGCUCAACGGAUAAAAGCUACCCUGGGGAUAACAGGCUGAUCUCCCCCAAGAGUUCACAUCGACGGGGAGGUUUGGCACCUCGAUGUCGGCUCAUCGCAUCCUGGAGCUGAAGUCGGUUCCAAGGGUUGGGCUGUUCGCCCAUUAAAGCGGUACGCGAGCUGGGUUCAGAACGUCGUGAGACAGUUCGGUCCCUAUCUGUCGUGGGCGCAGGAAAUUUGAGAAGAGCUGUCCUCAGUACGAGAGGACCGGGAUGGACGCAUCAAUGGUGGACCAGUUGUCACGCCAGUGGCAUAGCUGGGUAGCUAAAUGCGGAAGGGAUAAACGCUGAAGGCAUCUAAGUGUGAAACCCACUUCAAGAUGAGAUUUCCCAUUGCGCAAGCAAGUAAGACCCCUUAAAGACGAUAAGGUAGAUAGGUCAGGAGUGUAAGCAUGGUGACAUGUUAAGCGGACUGAUACUAAUAGGUCGAGGGCUUGACCGA
RNAcentral lists this ribosomal RNA (977 nucleotides) under human gut metagenome. RNAcentral's name for it is "bacterial LSU rRNA". It matches the Rfam family "Bacterial large subunit ribosomal RNA", at positions 1950 to 2925 of the family's 2925-position model. The record is from RNAcentral.